Non-coding RNA from Glossina palpalis gambiensis, 45 nucleotides. Lineage: Eukaryota; Metazoa; Arthropoda; Insecta; Diptera; Glossinidae. The record is from Rfam.
AUAAAGGUUUUUUUAAAAACCUCAAAAAACCAAAGAAAGCAUAGU